UGGGGAAUAUUGGACAAUGGGCGCAAGCCUGAUCCAGCCAUGCCGCGUGAGUGAUGAAGGCCCUAGGGUUGUAAAGCUCUUUCACCGGUGAAGAUAAUGACGGUAACCGGAGAAGAAGCCCCGGCUAACUUCGUGCCAGCAGCCGCGGUAAUACGAAGGGGGCUAGCGUUGUUCGGAUUUACUGGGCGUAAAGCGCACGUAGGCGGACUUUUAAGUCAGGGGUGAAAUCCCGGGGCUCAACCCCGGAACUGCCUUUGAUACUGGGAGUCUUGAGUAUGGUAGAGGUGAGUGGAAUUCCGAGUGUAGAGGUGAAAUUCGUAGAUAUUCGGAGGAACACCAGUGGCGAAGGCGGCUCACUGGGCCAUUACUGACGCUGAGGUGCGAAAGCGUGGGGAGCAAACAGG
This 404-nucleotide ribosomal RNA is filed under the name Actinomycetes bacterium. RNAcentral's name for it is "Actinobacteria bacterium partial 16S ribosomal RNA". It matches the Rfam family "Bacterial small subunit ribosomal RNA", at positions 355 to 776 of the family's 1533-position model. Lineage: Bacteria; Bacillati; Actinomycetota; Actinomycetes. The record is from RNAcentral.